Molecule: ribosomal RNA, 426 nt
Filed under: uncultured bacterium
Lineage: Bacteria
Description: bacterial SSU rRNA
Rfam family: Bacterial small subunit ribosomal RNA
Source: RNAcentral
GUGAGGAAUCUUCCACAAUGGGCGAAAGCCUGAUGGAGCAACGCCGCGUGCAGGAUGAAGGCCUUCGGGUUGUAAACUGCUUUUAUUAGCGAAGAAUAUGACGGUAGCAUAUGAAUAAGGAUCGGCUAACUCCGUGCCAGCAGCCGCGGUCAUACGGAGGAUCCAAGCGUUAUCCGGAAUUACUGGGCGUAAAGAGUUGCGUAGGUGGCAUAGUAAGUUGGUAGUGAAAUUGUAUGGCUCAACCAUACACCCAUUACUAAAACUGCUAAGCUAGAGUAUAUGAGAGGUAGCUGGAAUUCCUAGUGUAGGAGUGAAAUCCGUAGAUAUUAGGAGGAACACCGAUGGCGUAGGCAGGCUACUGGCAUAUUACUGACACUAAGGCACGAAAGCGUGGGGAGCAAACGGGAUUAGAAACCCUAGUAGUCC